Molecule: ribosomal RNA, 433 nt
Filed under: uncultured bacterium
Lineage: Bacteria
Description: partial 16S ribosomal RNA
Rfam family: Bacterial small subunit ribosomal RNA
Source: RNAcentral
AACGAACGCUGGCGGCAGGCCUAACACAUGCAAGUCGAGCGAGGACUUCGGUCCUAGCGGCGGACGGGUGAGUAACGCGUGGGAACGUGCCCUUUGCUUCGGAAUAGCCCUGGGAAACUGGGAGUAAUACCGGAUGAGCCCUUUGGGGGAAAGAUUUAUCGGCGAAGGAUCUGCCCGCGUUGGAUUAGGUAGUUGGUAGGGUAAUGGCCUACCAAGCCGACGAUCCAUAGCUGGUUUGAGAGGAAGAUCAGCCACACUGGGACUGAGACACGGCCCAGACUCCUACGGGAGGCAGCAGUGGGGAAUCUUAGACAAUGGGGGAAACCAUGAUCUAGCCAUGCCGCGUGAGCGAUGAAGGCCUUAGGGUUGUAAAGCUCUUUCAGCUGGGAAGAUAAUGACGGUACCAGCAGAAGAAGCCCCGGCUAACUCCGUG